GACGAACGCUGGCGGCGUGCCUAAUACAUGCAAGUAGAACGCUGAAGAGAGGAGCUUGCUCUUCUUGGAUGAGUUGCAAACGGGUGAGUAACGCGUAGGUAACCUGCCUUGUAGCGGGGGAUAACUAUUGGAAACGAUAGCUAAUACCGCAUAACAAUGGAUGACACAUGUCAUUUAUUUGAAAGGGGCAAUUGCUCCACUACAAGAUGGACCUGCGUUGUAUUAGCUAGUAGGUGAGGUAACGGCUCACCUAGGCGACGAUACAUAGCCGACCUGAGAGGGUGAUCGGCCACACUGGGACUGAGACACGGCCCAGACUCCUACGGGAGGCAGCAGUAGGGAAUCUUCGGCAAUGGGGGCAACCCUGACCGAGCAACGCCGCGUGAGUGAAGAAGGUUUUCGGAUCGUAAAGCUCUGUUGUAAGUCAAGAACGAGUGUGAGAGUGGAAAGUUUACACUGUGACGGUAGCUUACCAGAAAGGGACGGCUAACUACGUG
This 497-nucleotide ribosomal RNA is filed under the name uncultured bacterium. RNAcentral's name for it is "partial 16S ribosomal RNA". It matches the Rfam family "Bacterial small subunit ribosomal RNA", at positions 28 to 507 of the family's 1533-position model. The record is from RNAcentral.